UAAAUGGGGGCCGGAUAGAGGCGUUUGAUUGUUGUUCAAAAGGGUAUGUUUUCAUCUGUUUAG
This 63-nucleotide transfer RNA is filed under the name Nectonemertes cf. mirabilis HC-2011. Its description in RNAcentral is "tRNA-Asn". The record is from RNAcentral. Lineage: Eukaryota; Metazoa; Nemertea; Enopla; Monostilifera; Nectonemertidae.